AUUAAGCCCCCUAUUGUGGCUACAACAGCGUGUGUGAACAAACUUUUUCUUUUCUUUGUUCUAUACUUUUUGUUAUUUACAAUUUGUGUUAGUACAUCCAUUAAUCUAUCCUAUUUUUCACUGUCUGGGUUUGCUGGCUCUGGAAGCAUAUAUAUGGACCAUCAUGUUUUUGAAUAUGUUUCCUAAAGUACUUACGUACUUCUGUGGAAAAGUAUUUGGCCCCUUGAAAAGACAUUCCUACUCUUUUACUCACCCAAGUAAGAACCCAAUUUAAAUCAAUUUGCAACUAAAGUAGC
This is a non-coding RNA of Pelobates cultripes (western spadefoot toad), 296 nucleotides long. Lineage: Eukaryota; Metazoa; Chordata; Amphibia; Anura; Pelobatidae. The record is from the annotation of a GenBank genome assembly.